AGCUCCAAUAGCGUAUAUUAAAGUUGUUGCAGUUAAAAAGCUCGUAGUUGGAUUUCUGGUUGUGGGUACCUGGACUGAUUGCGGCAAUUUGUCCGUAGUCAGGUUCCGGCGUUAGCCCCAAUCAUCCUUCCAUGUGCUUUGGUCUACCCUUAACUGGGUCGGGCUUUGAAGCCAUGGAUCGUUUACUUUGAACAAAUUAGAGUGUUCCAAGCAGGCAAUUUCGCUUUGAAUACAUUAGCAUGGAAUAAUAAGAUAGGACUCUUGCUUCUAUUUUGUUGGCUCCGAACAAGAGUAAUGAUUGAUAGGGACAGUUGGGGGUGCUCGUAUUGAACGGCCAGAGGUGAAAUUCUUGGAUUCGUUCAAGACGAACUACUGCGAAAGCAUUCGCCAAGGAUGUCUU
RNAcentral lists this ribosomal RNA (400 nucleotides) under phytoplankton environmental sample. RNAcentral's name for it is "partial small subunit ribosomal RNA". It matches the Rfam family "Eukaryotic small subunit ribosomal RNA", at positions 587 to 970 of the family's 1831-position model. The record is from RNAcentral.